RNAcentral lists this long non-coding RNA (320 nucleotides) under Homo sapiens (human). RNAcentral's name for it is "non-protein coding lnc-FAM86C1-5:1". The record is from RNAcentral. Lineage: Eukaryota; Metazoa; Chordata; Mammalia; Primates; Hominidae.
AAAACCCUAGUCUAGGGCUUUUCUCUUUGGGGAGACAUUUUGUUACUGAUUCAAACCUGCUAUUCAUUUUGAGUCAGUUCAGGUUUUCUGUUUCUUCCUAGUUCAAUCUUGGUAGGCUGUGUAUGUCUGGGAAUUUAUCCCUUUCCUCUAAGUUUUCCAAUUUGUUAGGAUAUGGUUGUUCAUAGUAGCCUCUAAUCAUCCUUUUUAUUUCUUUGGUAACAGUUGUAAUGUCUCCUUUUUCAUUUCUGCUUGUAUUUAUUUGGGUCUCCUUUCUUUCUUUCUUUUUUUUUUUUUUUUGGUUAGCCUCACUAGUGGUUUAU